GGGGGCGGCCGCUGGGCCCGCGUGCUCCAGGGCCACGUGGAACAGUGCGAGUGCUUGGGGGGCCGGACCUGGUGCGAAGGCACCCGACAUACAGCUUGUCUGAGCAGCCCUUGCCUGAACGGGGGCACCUGCCACCUGAUCGUGGCCACCGGGACCACCGUGUGUGCCUGCCCACCAGGCUUCACUGGACGGCUCUGCAACAUCGAGCCUGAUGAGCGCUGCUUCUUGGGGAACGGCACUGGGUACCGUGGCGUGGCCAGCACCUCAGCCUCGGGCCUCAGCUGCCUGGCCUGGAACUCCGAUCUGCUCUACCAGGAGCUGCACGUGGACUCAGUGGGCGCCGCGGCCCUGCUGGGCCUGGGCCCCCAUGCCUACUGCCGGAAUCCGGACAAUGACGAGAGGCCCUGGUGCUACGUGGUGAAGGACAGCGCGCUCUCCUGGGAGUACUGCCGCCUGGAGGCCUGCGGUGCGCGGCUGGCGGGGGGUGCUGCCUUGGGCCCCAUCGAGGUCACAGCAGUUUUCCCCGUGAUCCUCCUAGCCCCUCCGCACACCUGGCUACUGCAUCUCUGACAAACGGGGAAACUGGAGCUCACGGGAUCAGGCUGGUCCAAGGUCACGCAGUGGGUCGGUACUGGGGUCACAGUGGGGAAGCAGCCCGCUGCAGGGGGCUGGUCACCAGGCGACGGCCUCGGGGUGGCACCUGCCCAGCCUGGACCAUGCCCAGGAUGGCCCCAGAAGCCUUUCAGGGAGGUGCAGGGAGGACAGCGUGCAGGCUCCCCACAGGCACCCCUGGCAUCAGACCCUGGGCGGGCAGGCCCCCCAGAGGCCACCUGCUUCCUGCCCUGGGGAGAGGCCCCCGGGCUCCCUAGGACCCCGGCGGGGCCAGCCCGGGGCUCUCAUGCGGGGGUCUCUGACUGUGCUGGGGCUGGCUGUGGGGUUCCGGGCUGCUGAGGGGGCCACAGAGGCCUCCGUGUGUCCAGCCCCUCUGGCCCUCACAGAGCCUUGGGAUUGGGCAUCAAACCCCAUUCUACAGAUUUGGAAACUGAGGGCAGAGAAUACCUCACCAGAGUCCAACUGUCAGCGGAUCUCCUGGCGACCCUGCCUGAGCCAGCCUCCCCGGGGCGCCAGGCCUGCGGCAGGAGGCACAAGAAGAGGACGUUCCUGCGGCCACGUAUCAUCGGCGGCUCCUCCUCGCUGCCCGGCUCGCACCCCUGGCUGGCCGCCAUCUACAUCGGGGACGGCUUCUGCGCCGGGAGCCUGGUCCACACCUGCUGGGUGGUGUCGGCCGCCCACUGCUUCUCCCACAGCCCCCCCAGGGACAGUGUCUCCGUGGUGCUGGGCCAGCACUUCUUCAACCGCACAACGGACGUGACGCAGACCUUUGGCAUCGAGAAGUACAUCCCGUACACCCUGUACUCGGUGUUCAACCCCAGCGACCACGACCUCGUCCUGAUCCGGCUGAAGAAGAAAGGGGACCGCUGUGCCACACGCUCGCAGUUCGUGCAGCCCAUCUGCCUGCCCGAGCCCGGCAGCACCUUCCCUGCAGGACACAAGUGCCAGAUUGCGGGCUGGGGCCACUUGGACGAGAACGUGAGCGGCUACUCCAGCUCCCUGCGGGAGGCCCUGGUCCCCCUGGUCGCCGACCACAAGUGCAGCAGCCCUGAGGUCUACGGCGCCGACAUCAGCCCCAACAUGCUCUGUGCCGGCUACUUCGACUGCAAGUCCGACGCCUGCCAGGGGGACUCAGGGGGGCCCCUGGCCUGCGAGAAGAACGGCGUGGCUUACCUCUACGGCAUCAUCAGCUGGGGUGACGGCUGCGGGCGGCUCCACAAGCCGGGGGUCUACACCCGCGUGGCCAACUAUGUGGACUGGAUCAACGACCGGAUACGGCCUCCCAGGCGGCUUGUGGCUCCCUCCUGACCCUCCAGCGGGACAC
This 1936-nucleotide small RNA is filed under the name Pan troglodytes (chimpanzee). RNAcentral's name for it is "retained intron". The record is from RNAcentral. Lineage: Eukaryota; Metazoa; Chordata; Mammalia; Primates; Hominidae.